CAGUGCCAGGGUAUUUUUAGCCCUCUAGCAGCAACUGGAGCAAAGCACUCAGCAGGCCUGCCUUGCUCUGGACUCUGAGACAUACUCGGUGGCUUUCACAGGGGGGAAUAUGAGCUCUUCAGGUCUGUUCUAGCUCUCUGCCUCACUCCUGGGCUCUUUCAAGGGUCUUAGAGGGAUGUCUGGUCCUCAUCAGCUGGUUGCCACUGGGCACGCUUGCCCAGGGUGUGUAUGGGAAAGGCGAUAGAAUGAAAGUCAGUCUUUUACCAAGACAUGAAGGGCACAGAGCCAGAGGCUCCCUGGAUGACUGACUGCUGGCUACUCUCUGGAGGAAGAUAACGAGGUGUGCGAGGAGCAUAUCCUUUCUAAGAGCAAAACAGAGAGCUUCAGGUUAGGUGUGUGGUGUGGAGGACCAGUGGACCCAGGCAGAAGGAGGGAAAGGGUGGACGGGGUAACAGGGAACCACUUCCUGGGGACCCAGGGACAGACAGACAUUCAGAGCCAGCUUGCUGCUUCUCACCAUCCCGACGCGGCGCUUGUUUAAUGUUUGCAGUUAAUAGGUCAGUCCUGAAUAUCGAUCUGACAAAUAUUUGCUAGAUCACUGACCUAGGGGACUUCCCGUGCCAACUCCUCCCCAGCGGCAACCUGUGAACUGGUCCCUUGAUCCCCUAGGGGUCAGGUCCAGUCCGGAAGAGACCCUUUCCUGCAGGUGGCUGUACUGUUCCACCUGUGGGUGUGGACUGAGGUCUGGGGCAACCACCUGCGCGAGAUCCUUUGUUUGAAGUGGCUCCUCGGUGCAGGUGGUCAGAAGCAGUCAAGACUUGUCGCAGCUGCCCACACUGGGACACACACCACAAGGUCUAGGCUGCCUGGGUCCUGUUCCUACCUCGGCCACACUGUCUACCCAACGCUGGGAAGGAGAGGCCUUGCUUUUUGGAGACAACAGGUGGAGACCCAGGGAGGCUUGAGUCAGAGCCUGGGAAAAUUCCUGCUUUUCCCAACACACACAUUGACAUUCGCAUUCACAUCUGGGCAGGAGCACACACCCGAGCACGCACACACACACACACACACACACACCAUCACCAUCAUUGUCAUCACCCCACUGUUGUGCCAUAUCCCCCAGGCAGCCACCACCCUGGAUCCCACUCUGGUUCAGCUGUCAUCUCCUAAUGAAUUCCUGCAGCUUCGAUUCUAGCUUUGCUUCGUUUUUCUGGGUUGGAAAUCAGGAAAGAUCAGGCAGCAUGGUCAAGCUCACACCGUGAAUGGAGAUGUGGAGGUCAAAUCCAGAUGUGUGCUCUUUCCGAGGGGAAGAGAAGCCCUGGGGAACAUUUGUACUUGUUCUCUGAGAUUUGGAGCAAGUACUGAAAAAUUAAAUGACUUUAUUUUGUGUAGGGUUCUCCAUCACUCAAAGUCAGGCUGUCAGUGAAAUAAACCUCCGAGGUCUGAGUACCUCUGCAGGUCUAGCUGCCCAUUCACCUGGUCUUUUCCCAUGUGCGAGCUGCCUUCUCACCUCUCCUGUGGUGGUGUUUACUUUUCCUCCAACGUCUAGCUCAAAAGCCUAUCUUCUUGUGAUGCACGCCUUCAUUUUCACCCUGUGGAGACCCUGAGAUCCUUUCCUGACACUCUCCAGCCUCAGUUCAUGCCGAUUCACUCUGGGCAUUGCCAUCACCAUGUCUGACUGGGUUGAGCUGUCGAAACUCCCUGGUGGCAAAGGGGCACUCUAGACCAGGGGAAGCAGCCCACGAAACAGCCUUGUGGCUGCUCUGGGGGGCCCUGUGGUUUCCCUCCAGCCAGCUGUGUGACCUUGAGUAAAUGACCCAACCCUUCUGAGACUCCACAUCACACGGGACUAGAUGGCCCAAGGAAGCGGCAGUUUCGAGCAAUCUCUUCCAGCUCUCCUGUCACCUUUUAACUAGGCUCUUGGAUGAAAUCACUAUUGAACUGAUCGUCCUUGGCUUUGUUUUUCUGAU
Non-coding RNA from Myodes glareolus (Bank vole), 1970 nucleotides. The record is from RefSeq and is a predicted model, not a curated record. Lineage: Eukaryota; Metazoa; Chordata; Mammalia; Rodentia; Cricetidae.